Molecule: ribosomal RNA, 443 nt
Filed under: uncultured bacterium
Lineage: Bacteria
Description: partial 16S ribosomal RNA
Rfam family: Bacterial small subunit ribosomal RNA
Source: RNAcentral
CCUACGGGAGGCAGCAGUGGGGAAUAUUGCACAAUGGGGGAAACCCUGAUGCAGCGACGCCGCGUGAGUGAAGAAGUAUUUCGGUAUGUAAAGCUCUGUCAGCAGGGAAGAAAGAAAUGACGGUACCUGACCAAGAAGCCCCGGCGAACUACGUGCCAGCAGCCGCGGUAAUACGUAGGGGGCAAGCGUUAUCCGGAAUUACUGGGUGUAAAGGGAGCGUAGAGGGUUAAGUAAGUCUGGAGUGAAAGGCCGGGGACCAACCCCGGGACUGCUCUGGAAACUAUUGAAAUUGAGUGCAGGAGAGGUAAGCGGAAUUCCUAGUGUAGCGGUGAAAUGCGUAGAUAUUAGGAGGAACACCAGUGGCGAAGGCGGCUUACUGGACUGUAACUGACGUUGAGGCUCGAAAGCGUGGGGAGCAAACAGGAUUAGAUACCCUAGUAGUC